RNAcentral lists this ribosomal RNA (497 nucleotides) under uncultured bacterium. RNAcentral describes it as "partial 16S ribosomal RNA". It matches the Rfam family "Bacterial small subunit ribosomal RNA", at positions 28 to 507 of the family's 1533-position model. The record is from RNAcentral.
GAUGAACGCUGGCGGCGUGCCUAAUACAUGCAAGUCGGGCGAACGGACGAGAAGCUUGCUUCUCUGAUGUUAGCGGCGGACGGGUGAGUAACACGUGGAUAACCUACCUAUAAGACUGGGAUAACUUCGGGAAACCGGAGCUAAUACCGGAUAAUAUUUUGAACCGCAUGGUUCAAAAGUGAAAGACGGUCUUGCUGUCACUUAUAGAUGGAUCCGCGCUGCAUUAGCUAGUUGGUAAGGUAACGGCUUACCAAGGCAACGAUGCAUAGCCGACCUGAGAGGGUGAUCGGCCACACUGGAACUGGGACACGGUCCAGACUCCUACGGUAGGCAGCAGUAGGGAAUCUUCCGCAAUGGGCGAAAGCCUGACGGAGCAACGCCGCGUGAGUGAUGAAGGUCUUCGGAUCGUAAAACUCUGUUAUUAGGGAAGAACAUAUGUGUAAGUAACUGUGCACAUCGUGACGGUACCUAAUCAGAAAGCCACGGCUAACUACGUG